RNAcentral lists this transfer RNA (25 nucleotides) under Martes americana caurina. Its description in RNAcentral is "partial tRNA-Pro". The record is from RNAcentral. Lineage: Eukaryota; Metazoa; Chordata; Mammalia; Carnivora; Mustelidae. RNAcentral also lists the same sequence under 3 other names.
GACAUUCUAACUAAACUAUUCCCUG